Molecule: ribosomal RNA, 468 nt
Filed under: uncultured bacterium
Lineage: Bacteria
Description: partial 16S ribosomal RNA
Rfam family: Bacterial small subunit ribosomal RNA
Source: RNAcentral
GACGAACGCUGGCGGCGUGCUUAACACAUGCAAGUCGAACGGAAAGGCCCUGCUUUUGUGGGGUGCUCGAGUGGCGAAAGGGUGAGUAACACGUGAGUAACCUGCCCUUGACUUUGGGAUAACUUCAGGAAACUGGGGCUAAUACCGGAUAGGAGCUCCUGCUGCAUGGUAGGGGUUGGAAAGUUUCGGCGGUUGGGGAUGGACUCGCGGCUUAUCAGCUUGUUGGUGGGGUGGUGGCUUACCAAGGCUUUGACGGGUAGCCGGCCUGUGAGGGUGACCGGCCACAUUGGGACUGAGAUACGGCCCAGACUCCUACGGGAGGCAGCAGUGGGGAAUAUUGCACAAUGGGCGGAAGCCUGAUGCAGCAACGCCGCGUGCGGGAUGACGGCCUUCGGGUUGUAAACCGCUUUCGCCUGUGACGAAGCGUGAGUGACGGUAAUGGGUAAAGAAGCACCGGCUAACUACGUG